Long non-coding RNA from Homo sapiens (human), 699 nucleotides. The record is from Ensembl. Lineage: Eukaryota; Metazoa; Chordata; Mammalia; Primates; Hominidae.
GCAUAUGGCCUGAGACAAGAGCAAGCAUGUACAUCUUCCGGGAACCACUAGGAGCCCAGCGUGAGUGGAGUGGAAUGAGCAAGGAGAUCAGUAGAAGAUACCAACCAGGAAAAAGUAAGCCCUAUGAAACAGAUGAUGAUCAAAAUACCUUUUCAGGUAUUUGUUAUUGGCAAAGCUCAUCUGGUAAUCACAGUGGAACCUCCUACCUCACUCCAAAAACUUAAACCUUCAAAAGCUAGUGAAACAGAAGUCUCCACCCAGCGACACAUGGGAAAACUCUAAAAGAACAGAGGCUUGGCUGACCGACCAGAAAUAGGUCCUUUUUUAUCUGCUAUCUCAAGAAGGAGGAAUCAAGAAUAUACACGGUCCCUGAGCAAAGGCAGGACUGACAUGAAGCAAGAGCCAUGUCCUACAUAUUGCCCACAAACCAGAAGAAUGGUCCCACGUUUGGACUUGUAUGAUCAACUGGGUGCCAGUCACUCCUCCCAAGCAGAGGAACAAGCGAGAGCCAAAUGUCACUGCUUAUAUUUGAGAAGAGUGGAAAACCUUCAUGAAAUGAGAACAAGGAGUACAGAUUGCUCACAACAGUUUUCACUGUACUAAUAGCCAUGUAUCCAGCUUCUGUAGACUAUCGCAAGCCUUUAUAAUAGAGCCCGAAGUUAACAUCAUGCUGCAUAGAUGAUAGAAGCAGCAUAGAAC